UAUGUGUCUUUCAGGUGAUGUUUCUAGUGUGACGCAUAAUCUAGUGGACGGAACGCUUCUUCAACAACUGCAGCCACCUCGGUAGCUCGCUGGACAACAAAGUCGUACCAUUCAAGUUAUUUAGGCAAUUUCGUGGUUUAUUUCCCACUAUGAGUUAAAUAUACUUAUGUGGAAACAACUAGAUACCCCAUUUAAUGUAAUAUUUACGUUGUAAGUCAACUAGCUGGCUGGUUAAGUUAGCACUAGUUUAGUCGCUAAUGCUAACCAGCUAUUAUCUCCGACCAUGAGUUCACUAAGCUACUCUCCUCCUGCUAUAGAAGAGGGGGUCUGCUGGACGGAGAAAGAAACUCUAGUGAAAGAGGAGGAGGAAGAGGAGGCUGUUACAAUACAAAAACAAGUAGAGGGUGAGGCUGUUGCCGUGAAAGAAGAAGAGAAAGACGUUUCAAUGAAAGAAGGGGAAAACACCUUCAGAGUGAAAGAGGAGGAGGAGGGUGUUACUGUGAAAGAAGAGGAAGAAGAUGCAGUUUUUGGAGUGGAGGAUGAAGAGGGGGAGAUUACUGUCACAUUAGAGGAGGACGAAGAAGAGAAGACUGGAGAACUGAUUAACACCAGUAAAUACAGAGAGAGAUUGGACAAUCGUGGAUCCUCUGGGGAGCCUCAACAACAUCAUGACGCUGACAAGGCAAAGACAAGUCUCCCCGGAUCAGAACUCCCCAAGAAACACCAGCGGAGACGCACAAGGAAGAAAUCUAUCUGCUGCUCUGACUGUGGGAAAAGAUUGAACUCUUCAUCGGACCUUAAAAUACAUCAAAGAAUUCACACAGGAGAAAAACCUUACGGCUGUGAACAAUGUGGGAAGAGUUUUACUCAGCGAUGCAACCUGAUAGUACACCAGCGGGGACAUACAGGAGAGAAACCUUUUAGCUGUGCUCAAUGUGGGAAGAGUUUUACUACAUCUAGUUAUCUAACUAUACACCAGAGAAUACACACAGGAGAGAAACCUUAUAGCUGUGCUCAAUGUGGGAAGAGUUUUACUCAGCAAAGCAGCCUAAUAGUACACCAGCGAACACACACAGGAGAGAAACCUUGUGGCUGUGAUCAAUGUGGGAAGAGAUACUCUGUUAAAAGAUCUCUGAUUAAACAUCAGAAAAUACAUGGAGUUGUUUCAUGAUAUCAAUAAAAUAAUGUCACAAUGUAGAAUGUUUUUAAUAUGUCGUAGGAGUAUUUUAAUGAAUGUCAGAAUGUAAACGUUUGCCCCCCUUUUCAGGUGAUAUUAGCCUCAGGGGAAAAAUCCAGGCUCUGAAUUUAAAGAGUUACUAUUUAUGAGAUUUAACAAAAAAGUGACAAACAAAAAUAGAGCUGUGUUACACUUACCACGUUGGUGACCCACUUGAAUCAAAAUACAACACUUCAAAAUGUUUAGGUUUUCAAUAUAUCCCAAACUGUUUUGACAUAUUGGUGAUUUGGACACAUUAAAACUGUGUUUUGACAUUGCGCUAUUCCCAUUCAGCAAAAUGUAAUUGAACAGAUGUCUUCUCUGGUCGUUUUUUUUCAAUGACUUGAAAACAACUUAAUUUCAACGUACUUGCAGCCUAUACACAUCGGCAAUUGGUCUAUAAUAAAUUUGAUUAACAAUCCUACAUCACUCCAGUAUUUCCUGACAACAUUCAAGUGCUAAUUGUCUUUAUUCCACUACUGAAGAAGCAUGACUCAAAUCACCUCAUAUUUCAAACAUCCAGCCUGACAAAAGAUACGUGUUUUAUUAUUCCAUGCCUCAACAUUAAGUGAUUAAUUGUCAAUACAUAUUAACAAAAGUGUGUAUAUUUGGUUUUGAUAUUUCAUAUUUACAAUUCAUGUAACAUUUAGUAAUAAUUAUUUAUGCAACCAACUGACAAUUUUUGGGUACAAUUAUAUUGACAUUGUUGCCCAGCUUUUAGAAUAUCAGGGUUAAUUCUCAGAUGUGCCAACCCAAAUGUACUAGAGGAUGACAUUGGGAACUGGGCCCCGAUCCAACAACAUGCCUAUCUAGUGAACCCUGAAAAGAGAGAGAAGCUCUGCAGUGAGGUGGAAAGUAACUAAGGAUAUUGCAGGAGUUUCCUCUUGAAAUCAGAUAUGUCCGUGGUAAGGACAACUUGGUUGCUGAUUGUCUCAAAGGUGGGCAGUUUGAAGAUUUGUGUUUUGCGUUUAGCCAAUGUGUUACCAUGGAUCACAAUUUAUUUUGACUGUCUGUUUUUCCAUAUUGGAGAUGACUUUUGUUUGGGCUCGUUCUAAGGGGACUAGAGUUCUAGAAGCUCGUGGAGUUUUCCCCAAAAAUGUAUUAUUUAGAAAUGUGUUUCUUGUUGACAGUGAACACCAUGUUUAUAUUGGUGAAGGUGAAGCUUUGUAGUUGAUUUAUAAUGUGAAAUGGCAGUAGUUUUCUGUUGGUGGUGAGCAAACUUGUCCAACAAAAAUAUAGGAUAUAUUGGUUGUCUUCAGUGGGAAGGUGUUACAGGCUUUGGUUUUUCCAUUUAUGUUUUGAGGUUGGACGUUAGCAUGUAGGAAAGGGGGAAACAUCGUCAGUUGUACAACUGAAAUGUGUCUUUGGUGCACGUCUAGCUCGUUAGCACGUAGGACGCACUGAUUGGUGUCACCUCGUUAGUCAGUAUGUGUUACACCUGUACUGGCUUGUCCAUCUUGUUAGUGGGAAGGUGUUUCACCUGAGCUGGUCCAGGUUCAAUUUAAGAGUGUCUGGCCCGGUGCUCCAGUAGUCUUGAUAGAUGUGGAGAAUCAACACCUUUAGUUGCUCCACUUUUUUGGUUUGCUUCCUGCCUUUAAGUUUGUUGUGGGUUUUUCUUUUGUUCGCCUCUCCUUGGGCAGAUUUAGUGGGUCUCAUGGUGGGUGUCUUUUAGGUCCCAGUUGUUGUUACUAGUCAACUUUCAGUGGACACCCCCAUUGUGUCUUUCAAAGCCCCUCCUAAAAAAUCCAAUUUGGAUUGGAUUUUGCAUCCAAUUAAUAUUUUAAUCAAUGGCAUUUCCUUAGGGUGCUCAUUAGUCUUUCAGUUAGUCUUUUGUUUGUUGUGUACUAAAUAUUUCUGUUUAUUUUCAUUGGAUUUUCCUGUGAAGUCAUUUUGUUGCAUUCAUGUCUGAAAUGUGCUGUACAAAUAAAGCUUGAUUUCAACAAAUGAA
Oncorhynchus kisutch (coho salmon) is the source of this 3164-nucleotide long non-coding RNA. RefSeq lists it as uncharacterized. The record is from RefSeq and is a predicted model, not a curated record. NCBI's taxonomy places the organism in Eukaryota, Metazoa, Chordata, Actinopteri, Salmoniformes, Salmonidae. The transcript has 2 exons.